This 486-nucleotide ribosomal RNA is filed under the name uncultured bacterium. RNAcentral describes it as "partial 16S ribosomal RNA". It matches the Rfam family "Bacterial small subunit ribosomal RNA", at positions 30 to 507 of the family's 1533-position model. The record is from RNAcentral.
AUUGAACGCUGGCGACAUGCCUUACACAUGCAAGUCGAACGGCAGCACGGGUGCUUGCACCUGUUGGCGAGUGGCGAACGGGUGAGUAAUACAUCGGAACAUGUCCUGUAGUGGGGGAUAGCCCGGCGAAAGCCGGAUUAAUACCGCAUACGAUCUACGGAUGAAAGCGGGGGGCCUUCGGGCCUCGCGCUAUAGGGUUGGCCGAUGGCUGAUUAGCUAGUUGGUGGGGUAAAGGCCUACCAAGGCGACGAUCAGUAGCUGGUCUGAGAGGACGACCAGCCACACUGGGACUGAGACACGGCCCAGACUCCUACGGGAGGCAGCAGUGGGGAAUUUUGGACAAUGGGCGAAAGCCUGAUCCAGCAAUGCCGCGUGUGUGAAGAAGGCCUUCGGGUUGUAAAGCACUUUUGUCCGGAAAGAAAUCCUUGGCCCUAAUACGGUCGGGGGAUGACGGUACCGGAAGAAUAAGCACCGGCUAACUACGUG